Molecule: ribosomal RNA, 493 nt
Filed under: uncultured Gammaproteobacteria bacterium
Lineage: Bacteria; Pseudomonadati; Pseudomonadota; Gammaproteobacteria
Description: bacterial SSU rRNA
Rfam family: Bacterial small subunit ribosomal RNA
Source: RNAcentral
ACGAGUGGCGGACGGGUGAGUAAUGCGUAGGAAUUUACCUCAAAGUGGGGGAUAGCCCGGAGAAAUCCGGAUUAAUACCGCAUGUGCACUACGGUGGAAAGCGGGCCCCUACAUGUAAGCUCGCGCUUUGAGAUAAGCCUACGUCGGAUUAGCUUGUUGGUGGGGUAAAAGCCUACCAAGGCGACGAUCCGUAGCUGGUUUGAGAGGAUGAUCAGCCACACCGGAACUGAGACACGGUCCGGACUCCUACGGGAGGCAGCAGUGGGGAAUAUUGGACAAUGGGCGCAAGCCUGAUCCAGCAAUGCCGCGUGUGUGAAGAAGGCCUGCGGGUUGUAAAGCACUUUUAUCAGGAAAGAAAAACACAGGGAUAACACCCCUGUGCCUUGACGGUACCUGAUGAAUAAGCACCGGCUAACUCCGUGCCAGCAGCCGCGGUAAUACGGAGGGUGCAAGCGUUAAUCGGAAUUACUGGGCGUAAAGCGAGUGUAGGCGG